RNAcentral lists this ribosomal RNA (472 nucleotides) under uncultured bacterium. RNAcentral's name for it is "bacterial SSU rRNA". It matches the Rfam family "Bacterial small subunit ribosomal RNA", at positions 355 to 825 of the family's 1533-position model. The record is from RNAcentral.
UGGGGAAUAUUGGACAAUGGGGGGAACCCUGAUCCAGCAAUGCCGCGUGUGUGAAGAAGGCCUGAGGGUUGUAAAGCACUUUCAGAGGGGAGGAGGACUAUUAGGUUAAGAGCUAGAUAGUUGGACGUUACCCUCAGAAGCAGCACCGGCUAACUCCGUGCCAGCAGCCGCGGUAAUACGGGGGGUGCAAGCGUUAAUCGGAAUUAUUGGGCGUAAAGGGCGCGUAGGCGGCCAGAUAAGUCCCGGGUGAAAUCCCUCGGCUCAACCGAGGAACUGCCUUGGAAACUGUCUGGCUCGAGGCCGGGAGAGGGUAGUGGAAUUCCCAGUGUAGCGGUGAAAUGCGUAGAUACUGGGAGGAACACCGGUGGCGAAGGCGGCUACCUGGACCGGUUCUGACGCUGAUGCGCGAAAGCGUGGGGAGCAAACAGGAUUAGAUACCCAGGUAGUCCCUGAGCGGGCUGGCAAGGCGCAU